This is a long non-coding RNA of Gopherus evgoodei (Goodes thornscrub tortoise), 400 nucleotides long. RefSeq lists it as uncharacterized. The record is from RefSeq and is a predicted model, not a curated record. Lineage: Eukaryota; Metazoa; Chordata; Testudines; Testudinidae. The transcript is spliced from 4 exons.
AAUGCCAUCGAGCUGGGGUAGCCAGGCUCGCGCUUCCGGGGCUGACAACGCAAGCCGCUAUUUAACUGACAAACCAGUCAACCAAUCAGAGGAAGGAGAAAAACUGGCUAGUGCGUGCACUUGUGACUUCUAUUAAGGCUAAUGGGAGUAAGGUGUGUGCCUAAAGGUUAGAAGAAACUUCCAAAGUUAGGAAUAUUGUUUACAUUUGGGGAACAUCCACCAGACAGUAUGCAAUCAGCCUGGAUGGGCCAUUUGGGAGAACAAUAGGACUCUGAAGAUGCUAAUCUCCCACCUUCCUGAGAAGUUUCCUCGUAUGCUGUGAUCAUGUCACGUGGUGCUGGAUUACAUCUUGGACUUCAGUAAGGAUAAAGAUGCCUCAUCUCCAUCUUGUCUUCAGUCC